This 497-nucleotide ribosomal RNA is filed under the name uncultured bacterium. Its description in RNAcentral is "partial 16S ribosomal RNA". It matches the Rfam family "Bacterial small subunit ribosomal RNA", at positions 28 to 507 of the family's 1533-position model. The record is from RNAcentral.
GAUGAACGCUGGCGGCGUGCCUAAUACAUGCAAGUCGAGCGAACGGACGAGAAGCUUGCUUCUCUGAUGUUAGCGGCGGACGGGUGAGUAACACGUGGAUAACCUACCUAUAAGACUGGGAUAAAUUCGGGAAACCGGAGCUAAUACCGGAUAAUAUUUUGAACCGCAUGGUUCAAAAGUGAAAGACGGUCUUGCUGUCACUUAUAGAUGGAUCCGCGCUGCAUUAGCUAGUUGGGAAGGUAACGGCUUACCAAGGCCACGAUGCAUAGCCGACCUGAGAGGGUGAUCGGCCACACAAGAACUGAGGCACGCUCCAGACUCCUACGGGAGGCAGCAGUAGGGAAUCUUCCGCAAUGGGCGAAAGCCUGACGGAGCAACGCCGCGUGAGUGAUGAAGGUCUUCGGAUCGUAAAACUCUGUUAUUAGGGAAGAACAUAUGUGUAAGUAACUGUGCACAUCUUGACGGUACCUAAUCAGAAAGCCACGGCUAACUACGUG